GACGAACGCUGGCGGCGUGCUUAACACAUGCAAGUCGAACGGUAAGGCCCUUUGGGGUACACGAGUGGCGAACGGGUGAGUAACACGUGGGUGAUCUGCCCUGCACUUCGGGAUAAGCCUGGGAAACUGGGUCUAAUACCGGAUAGGACCACUGCCUGCAUGGGUGGUGGUGGAAAGCUUUUGCGGUGUGGGAUGGGCCCGCGUCCUAUCAGCUUGUUGGUGGGGUGAUGGCCUACCAAGGCAACGACGGAUAGCCGGCCUGAGAGGGUGACCGGCCACACUGGGACUGAGAUACGGCCCAGACUCCUACGGGAGGCAGCAGUGGGGAAUAUUGCACAAUGGGCGCAAGCCUGAUGCAGCGACGCCGCGUGAGGGAUGACGGCCUUCGGGUUGUAAACCUCUUUCAGCACCGACGAAGCGCAAGUGACGGUAGGUGCAGAAGAAGGACCGGCCAACUACGUGCCAGCCGCCGCAGUAA
Molecule: ribosomal RNA, 478 nt
Filed under: uncultured bacterium
Lineage: Bacteria
Description: partial 16S ribosomal RNA
Rfam family: Bacterial small subunit ribosomal RNA
Source: RNAcentral